Long non-coding RNA from Folsomia candida, 646 nucleotides. RefSeq lists it as uncharacterized. The transcript is spliced from 3 exons. NCBI's taxonomy places the organism in Eukaryota, Metazoa, Arthropoda, Collembola, Entomobryomorpha, Isotomidae. The record is from RefSeq and is a predicted model, not a curated record.
ACUUCCUCUCCGUAAGGUAAUUUAUUCCCGUCUAAACUCUUCUUCGAACAACACAUAAAAUUUGUGGUCUCUUUCUUUAAUAUUUUUAAGCCAUUAAUUAAAAUCAAGCCCUACAAAAUAUCUUCUUAUUUAACAAGAUCCCCCUUGUUCAGCCCCAAUCAUCAUUUAACUGGUCUAUCGCAAGUUAGAAUCUGAAAAUUCAUCCACCAUGAAGAUCGCAUUCGUUUUUAUUCUCGUCCUGACAGGGAUGACUAUCGCGCAGGGUGCAGGGUUACCAGAAGGGAUCAAUUUGGACGAUAUUAGUGCAAAAGCUUUCUGCCCGUCGAUGAUAGCCGCCUGUAAAAAUGGUGAUGACGACGGUGUCGAAUGCUUGGAUUCGGGCCCUUCGAAAUAUGCUCAUUGCGAGAAUCCACCCAGUCGUGAGUUUGACGACGCUUGCCUGGAAUAUCCUAAAGGCUGCAAGGUCUCCAUUAACGAAAAUUUGCAUGUAUGUCAAUGUUAAUGUGGUAUUGAUCUGCGGUAUGAUUUGGUUACACAAAUACAUAUUGAGUUUAGAAAGUAAUAUUGAUGUUUUUUUAUUACAAAAUUGUGUGAAGAUUCAUGCGAAAUAAAACACGGCAUGGUGUGCUUGAAUUAUUUCUUGAAA